Molecule: ribosomal RNA, 631 nt
Filed under: uncultured bacterium
Lineage: Bacteria
Description: bacterial SSU rRNA
Rfam family: Bacterial small subunit ribosomal RNA
Source: RNAcentral
UGCAGUCGAACGGUAGCAGGAAGUGCUUGCACUUUGCUGACGAGUGGCGGACGGGUGAGUAAUACUUAGGAACAUGCCUUUGUGUGGGGGAUAACCAUUGGAAACGAUGGCUAAUACCGCAUAAUGUCUUUGGACCAAAGAGGGCUUUCGGGCUCUCGCGCAAAGAGUGGCCUAAGUGAGAUUAGCUUGUUGGUGAGGUAAAGGCUCACCAAGGCGACGAUCUCUAGCUGUUCUGAGAGGAAGAUCAGCCACACUGGGACUGAGACACGGCCCAGACUCCUACGGGAGGCAGCAGUGGGGAAUAUUGCACAAUGGGGGCAACCCUGAUGCAGCCAUGCCGCGUGUGUGAAGAAGGCCUUCGGGUUGUAAAGCACUUUCAGUUGUGAGGAAAGGUUGGUGGUUAAUACCCAUCAGCUGUGACGUUAGCAACAGAAGAAGCACCGGCUAACUCCGUGCCAGCAGCCGCGGUAAUACGGAGGGUGCGAGCGUUAAUCGGAAUUACUGGGCGUAAAGCGCACGCAGGCGGUUAUAUAAGCUAGAUGUGAAAGCCCCGGGCUCAACCUGGGAAUAGCAUUUAGAACUGUAUGACUAGAGUCUUGGAGAGGGGAGUGGAAUUCCAGGUGUAGCGGUG